RNAcentral lists this ribosomal RNA (505 nucleotides) under uncultured bacterium. RNAcentral's name for it is "partial 16S ribosomal RNA". It matches the Rfam family "Bacterial small subunit ribosomal RNA", at positions 28 to 507 of the family's 1533-position model. The record is from RNAcentral.
GACGAACGCUGGCGGCGUGCCUAAUACAUGCAAGUAGAACGCACAGUUUAUACCGUAGCUUGCUACACCAUAGACUGUGAGUUGCGAACGGGUGAGUAACGCGUAGGUAACCUGCCUGGUAGCGGGGGAUAACUAUUGGAAACGAUAGCUAAUACCGCAUAAUAUUAAUUAUUGCAUGAUAAUUAAUUGAAAGGUGCAAUUGCACCACUACCAGAUGGACCUGCGUUGUAUUAGCUAGUAGGUGAGGUAACGGCUCACCUAGGCGACGGUACAUAGCCGACCUGAGAGGGUGAUCGGCCACACUGGGACUGAGACACGGCCCAGACUCCUACGGGAGGCAGCAGUAGGGAAUCUUCGGCAAUGGACGAAAGUCUGACCGAGCAACGCCGCGUGAGUGAAGAAGGGUUUCGGAUCGUAAAGCUCUGUUGUAAGAGAAGAACGGGUGUGAGAGUGGAAAGUUCACACUGUGACGGUAUCUUAACAGAAAGGGACGGCUAACUACGUG